AAAGAAAAAGCCCUAAUCCUUCGCACGCAGCUCGUCGCCCUUCUCAGCUCCCGUCGAAAACUGCCACGCCUCCUAGAACCGGAGCUUCGACAAUAAUAACAUAGCCAGCCGAAAAGGAUGUGAGUGCUCUCUUCUCUUGCUCUUAUUUGAGGAAUCGUUGAGAACCGUUCUGUGCCGAUCGCCCGUCAUGUUCUCGCGUCUGGUGGCCAAGCGCCUCUUGGAGAUUUGCCGGGUGCUGCGUCCGUCGUUGCCGCUUUCUUCACCCUCUUCUACUGUCGCAAGAUCCUUCUCCACAGCCUUGAACUAUCACAUUGAUUUGCUGGAUAACAAGCCGAACAAACCAUGGGAAUUUACUGUUGUGAAUAUGAAGAGGGUAUGACAAUUGAAUCCAAUUGUUGUUUGCGUCUAGUGAAAUGCUGUGAAUGAUGCCGAAUAUGAUACGAGUGUGAUUAAGAUGUUAUUCUGAUUAUUUUCAAUUUUCUCUUGUUCAGUGUCGUUUUGGAUAUUUUUGUUGUAAUUUGGAUUUGUUGGUUAAUCUCUUUUUCCUUCUUUUAAUUUCCUAGAAUUUCUCUAAAUUGUUAAUCAUUUAGUCUUCCGGUGCAGGAUGAAAUAAAAAUAUCAUUGUUUUUAUAGGUGAACUUCCUCUUUAGCUAGCAUUCAUCUUAUUACUUCUCAAACUUCAGAUUCUAUCAGGAAAUGCUAAUCUUAUAGAUAUUUGAUCUUCUCUUUAUGCAUAGUUCACUUGAUUAAUGAUAGUCGCUUUUGUAUAUUGAUCUUCAUACUUGGACCUGUUGAGUUCUUGUCGGCUUUGGAAGUGUUUCCAUAGUUAACUUUGUAUGCUAUAGAUUGAGUUCAAUAUUUUACAUCCUCAUUUUUUACAUGGGAAUGAAUGACAAUCCAUUGAAUCAAACACUCUUACUAUCUUAUGAUUAUACAGAAACUAUGGAAUUUUUAGGAUGCUAAACAUGAAAACUCCAUAGUUCACACGUCUCAAAUUUCCUAACUCUUCAAUGAUGGUUACAAAGAUGUUAUUUUUAUCUUACUAUUGAGCUCUAUGUGGUGCUAAAAUAUUUUCAGGGUAACACCUUACCAUGCAGUAAGUACAAUUAAGAUUCAUUUGAAAGUGUUUUAUAAUCAUGAAAACUAAUCCUAUGAGAAGAAAAGACAACAAAAACAUUGUUAGUAUUUGUAGG
Molecule: long non-coding RNA, 1193 nt
Organism: Zingiber officinale
Lineage: Eukaryota; Viridiplantae; Streptophyta; Magnoliopsida; Zingiberales; Zingiberaceae
Exons: 3
Source: RefSeq, a predicted model, not a curated record